CCCACCCUCCCUAGCGCCACCCCAACAGGGAAAUGCAACCUCAACUAGAUGCUUGGGUCCCUAGUACUGAUCUCCCACACAGACAGCGUUCACCUCUAAGAGAAAGUGUCUUCAGACGUGGCUCCAACAUGUACCUGGUCUCCAGCAGUUUCUGAUGUUCUCAGUAUAAAAGCAGCACUAUUUGAGAUAGAUAAGCGUCCACACUGGAGUGGGCUUCAGUUUCUACAUGAACAGUUAGGACUUUCUGGAGCUCCAGAGUACCAUCUAUGGCAGCAGUGAG
Long non-coding RNA from Perognathus longimembris pacificus (Pacific pocket mouse), 280 nucleotides. RefSeq lists it as uncharacterized. The record is from RefSeq and is a predicted model, not a curated record. NCBI's taxonomy places the organism in Eukaryota, Metazoa, Chordata, Mammalia, Rodentia, Heteromyidae. The transcript is spliced from 3 exons.